UUUGCUGGGAUUUGGCGGCAUCUAGUGGCAGACUCGAGAGGUAUAAACCUUACCCACAGAACUUUCUGGAAAAUUAACAGUGCGUAUUUGCCUGAAGAAGGUUAGUGUGCUUGCUUGGAGAUCAGGACGCAAAGGUCACCAUCAGAAAAGCUAAGUUUGCUGUAUAGUGAGGAUCAGGAGAUCUGAUCCUGAUUGCAGAACCUUCCCUGAUUACAGAAUCUUCGUGGUUGGAAUAAAAACAGGGUUGAAUGAGUUCCAGAAAGCAGGGUUCUCAACCUCGUGGACAGCAAUCUGCAGAAGAAGAGAACUUCAAAAAACCAACUAGAAGCAACAUGCAGAGAAGUAAAAUGAGAGGGGCCUCCUCAGGAAAGAAGACAGCUGGUCCACAGCAGAAAAAUCUUGAACCAGCUCUCCCAGGAAGAUGGGGGGGUCGCUCUGCAGAGAACCCCCCUUCAGGAUCCGUGAGGAAGACCAGAAAGAACAAGCAGAAGACUCCUGGAAACGGAGACGGUGGCAGUACCAGCGAAGCACCUCAGCCCCCUCGGAAGAAAAGGGCCCGGGCAGACCCCACUGUUGAAAGUG
Molecule: small RNA, 582 nt
Filed under: Pan troglodytes (chimpanzee)
Lineage: Eukaryota; Metazoa; Chordata; Mammalia; Primates; Hominidae
Description: processed transcript
Source: RNAcentral